Molecule: ribosomal RNA, 207 nt
Filed under: uncultured bacterium
Lineage: Bacteria
Description: partial 16S ribosomal RNA
Rfam family: Bacterial small subunit ribosomal RNA
Source: RNAcentral
UGCGUAGGUGGCGCCGUAAGUCGGAUGUGAAAUUUCGGAGCUUAACUCCGAAACUGCAUUCGAUACUGCGGUGCUUGAGGACUGGAGAGGAGACUGGAAUUCAUGGUGUAGCAGUGAAAUGCGUAGAGAUCAUGAGGAAGACCAGUGGCGAAGGCGGGUCUCUGGACAGUUCCUGACACUGAGGCACGAAGGCCAGGGGAGCAAACG